GACGAACGCUGGCGGCGUGCUUAACACAUGCAAGUCGAACGGAAAGGCCCUGCUUUUGUGGGGUGCUCGAGUGGCGAACGGGUGAGUAACACGUGAGUAACCUGCCCUUGACUUUGGGAUAACUUCAGGAAACUGGGGCUAAUACCGGAUAGGGGCUCCUGCUGCAUGGUGGGGGUUGGAAAGUUUCGGCGGUUGGGGAUGGACUCGCGGCUUAUCAGCUUGUUGGUGGGGUAGUGGCUUACCAAGGCUUUGACGGGUAGCCGGCCUGAGAGGGUGACCGGCCCAUUGGGGCCUGGGAUCCGCCCCAGCCUCUUACGGGAGGAAGAGGUGGGAAAUAUUCCACAAUGGCCGGAGGCUUGAUGAAGCACCCCGGCGUGCGGGAUGCCGCCCUUCGGGUUGUAACCGCUUUCGCCUGUGACGAAGCGUGAGUGACGGUAAUGGGUAAAGAAGCACCGGCUAACUACGU
RNAcentral lists this ribosomal RNA (466 nucleotides) under uncultured bacterium. RNAcentral describes it as "partial 16S ribosomal RNA". It matches the Rfam family "Bacterial small subunit ribosomal RNA", at positions 28 to 506 of the family's 1533-position model. The record is from RNAcentral.